GUUCUGUGUGACUGACGGAUAAGUGGAGUUUACCACGGGGAGCACAGAAUAGAAAAUUCCCUAGAAUUUAUAGCCGACCGUCUGGGU
RNAcentral lists this non-coding RNA (87 nucleotides) under uncultured Eubacterium sp. Its description in RNAcentral is "ZMP/ZTP riboswitch". It matches the Rfam family "ZMP/ZTP riboswitch aptamer (pfl RNA motif)", at positions 4 to 79 of the family's 86-position model. From Rfam's summary of the family: Previously known as pfl RNA. Lineage: Bacteria; Bacillati; Bacillota; Clostridia; Eubacteriales; Eubacteriaceae. The record is from RNAcentral.